GGGAGUGCACUUGAUUUUCAUUUUUAUUAUACAUAUUGAGUUGUCUAUCCACAUACAUGUAAUUACUCAAAUGCACAUAUGUGCAUACAUAACCUACCCCUACCUAAUGCAAGACAUUCUCUUCAGACACACAAGGAUGUAUACACAAACAUUAUCUAACAUGCGUACAUAAACAUCCGUUAAACUGCAUACAUAGACAUUAUUUGUAUGUACACACAGAAACUAACAAUCAGACACAGACACAAACUAACACGCAUCCUUAGACACAUACAGAAAUUAACACACAUCAAUAGACCUACAAUAAAAUACAUUCACUGACAGUCACACUGCCAAAAAAAUACAUUAUCACACAAUUAUAAUCUAUCUCCUUCUCUUUCUGCUUACUUUCUGCCUGAGGGAGGGAUAGGAGAGGCUUCAAACUGCUGUCCCAGGUGUCCAUUGUAG
This is a non-coding RNA of Pelobates cultripes (western spadefoot toad), 444 nucleotides long. NCBI's taxonomy places the organism in Eukaryota, Metazoa, Chordata, Amphibia, Anura, Pelobatidae. The record is from the annotation of a GenBank genome assembly.